RNAcentral lists this ribosomal RNA (253 nucleotides) under uncultured bacterium. RNAcentral describes it as "partial 16S ribosomal RNA". It matches the Rfam family "Bacterial small subunit ribosomal RNA", at positions 524 to 776 of the family's 1533-position model. The record is from RNAcentral.
UACGUAGGGUGCAAGCGUUAAUCGGAAUGACUGGGCGUAAAGGGUGCGCAGGCGGUCUGCUAAGUCAGAGGUGAAAUCCCCGGGCUUAACCUGGGAAUGGCCUAUGUGACUGGCAGGCUAGAGGAUGGCAGAGGGAGGCGGAAUUCCACGUGUAGCAGUGAAAUGCGUAGAGAUGUGGAGGAACACCGAUGGCGUAGGCAGCCUCCUGGGCCAAUCCUGACGCUCAGGCACGAAAGCGUGGGGAUCAAACAGG